CUUGACUGGUUGCAGGAGGUUAGCAUCUCUAAAAAUUAAGUUCUAGAUAACUUGCUUAAACUUGUGCAGAGAACACGGAACGUCAUGGAAUGUUUAAUUUUCAGAGAAAUCCUGUUUACUUUGACCCUUGCCGGCCAAGUGAAACAAUAUGUGAGUCCUUCAGUGAGAUACAAACUUCAAUCCAGGGCAUGAAGGUAGCUGGAGGACAGACCUGUCCCUGGGCAAUGAAAUAAGUCUUCCCUGUGAUGUCCUUUCAGCCCUCAGGGCAAAGGAACAUGGUAUCGUAUCAGUGAAAUUCACUAAAAGGCAUGAGCACGGAAGGACUUAAAAGGUAGUUCCAUGCUGUGGUUAACCUGAAAAAUACCUGUGAUUCCGAAAAAAAGCAUGCAAAAAGGUGAAUAAUGUGCACUGAUGGUACUAUGGUUGAUGUUGCUCUGUUCUCUGAGGUUCUGUGCAGAUGCAGAAUGAGUUUGUCUCUGGCCUUGGGCAGCCUAUAUGUACAUAUAAGAAUGACACAAAAAGACAGAAUUUGACAGAGGUCAAGAAAACAGUGGAACCAUACUGGUCAAAAUAAGAAGCCUAAAUUAUUGCAUGCCUGGAGCUUAGUUCUGGAGAAGCCUAGAAAUGGCCUAGAUGAGAGCUUCAAGGAGGGGCUGAAAGCAGCAGACUGCUUUUGAAGAGCUUUUCCCAGUGGUGAGGCAGAAGUUCGCCUGCACCGAUUUCUAACUCACUGCUAAAGAAAUGCUGAUGCCAUAGGUUAAAUGGCCACAGAAAAAAGUGUUUUGAUUUGAGGAUAAGCAUCUUAGGUUUGAUGUCAAAGAUAAAUUGGAGUAUACAGAAACACACAGAGAGCUAACUCUUUCACAGUAUACCAGCCAUGUGGGUGGGGUGUGAGCAGGGCAAGACUGAAUUUGACAAAACCAGAACAAGGUCUCAAUAAAUGAGACAACAAUAACGUGAAUGAGAAAAUGAGAAAUUCAAUCCUGGACACUUUUUUUUUUUUUUUUUAUUAAUUCACUCUGUUAAUUAAUUAAAAAAGUAUGAUCUAGCAAUGAAGACAUGGAAGAGCUUGAUGUUCAGGUAUAGCCAAAUGACAGGCAGAAGAAUGACAUCUGCCACAGCAGCAAGGGUUAAGCUGUGAGGAUGAGGCUGUUGGCUAAUCAUCCAUCAGAGCAAGCCUGGAAGCCAUACUAAUAUAUUAGUUGCCAGAUAAAUGUUUUGGAAGUGAGAAGUUGAUGUGAUAACCCUAAAAAAGCAUGACCAAUUGCAUAGAAAUAAAUGGUAUUUGAUAUAUAUCUGAUGGCAAUACAAGCACAAAAGAGAUACUUUAGUCUAUCUCAGAACUGUUAUUAGUCAUCUCUGUGCUCUAGCAAAGCAGUAAGGUAUCUCAUCUUUGAUUUCUAACAGUUAUUUCCAUCUCAUAUUAAACUAUUUUUAGACUGAAUGGGUAAAAAUUUUGCUUCCAAACAAAAGUAAUAUGGUCUUAAUGCAUAUAUCUAUUAUGGCCUGUUACUAACCUCCUUUUAUCUGGAGAAACAGUCAUUCACUCCAGCUUUUUGUUUGCUUGUUUGUUUGUUUUUCUUACAUAUUCAAUGUUUAAUUCAUCACAAACACCUUGAUUAUUCAUCCUCUUUUAUCAUCUUCAUUCUGUGAGAGAGCCUGGUGAAAAAGUACAGAAACUAUGCUUUUAGGACAUCUUUACCUGCUAUUUCUCUAGCUUUUAAAAAGCUAAGAAACUUAUUUUCUCCCCUUUGCAAAGGCUGUGUGGCCUGGCUCUCAAUUAAGGCAUAUUUCUGCAGUCCUGUCUUCAGACUGACUUCUUUGUAAACUUAUCAUUUUCUGUCUUACAAAUCACCCCAGAAAAUGUUUCUAAAACACCAACACUACUCAGUUAUGUAUAUUUACACCAAAAAGGUAAGUCAUCAAAGUAUGCUCCUUAUUCACUUUGAUUUGAAGAUGGUCUAUCCUGAGACUGGCACAGGGAGUAGCUCCCUCCCUGCUCUGAGGACUCACAGAACCAAGGGCUUCUUUCUUGGCUCUCUGCUGAGAUGACAAACUACUCUUCUGGCCCUGACCAUGCAGGGGACUCACGUUGCCGUGAAUAAAGAUUUUAUCAUCCCCUUCAGAAAAAAAUGAAACAGAAGCUGUAAAAUAAGAACAAAGUUGUUAAAAGUGAAGUUAAACUAAGUUGUUAAAACUCACCACUUAGUGAAUAAAUAAGCUAAAUAAAGAAUAAAAUCUACAAUCUGAUCUACCCAAAGGUGACUUUUGGUUUAAAAGAAAGACUUUGCUUUUUGGCAGUUUGACAAAUUGAGAAAAGGACACACUCAGGUACAAAACUAAAACUGGUGGUAAACUUUAGCAGCAACAACAAACUGAAGAAAGAAAAUAGUGUCUUUAUAAAAAUUUUAUAUCCAUUUCAUAUCUACAAUAACAAAGAAAAUGAGGAGGAAGCUUUUGAACAAUCAACUUCAUAUUAAUUAAGGGCUGCACUAACUUUUUCUAAUUUACAUAUUUCAGAUUGUGGAUAUCAUCAUUAUUCCAAGAUGCAAUGCAGAUAAUUAAGCCUAUUUUUUCAUGUCCUGUAAAUUAUCUGUCCACAAAAUGCUGAGUUUCUGAUUAAUUUCUUCUCUAUAGGUUUCCAGUGACCCAAUUUCUUUAUUUUCUUUAAGAUCAAUAUCCUUAGGCUGUCUCUUCAUAGACUACAUUUUAAACAUGAAAGAUAAUUCACAUAAUGUGAAGGUGUAAAGGUGAAAGGUUAGCUUCCCAUGUACAUCAUCCUAGUUUGUACACCUUACUCUGCUUCCCACCCUUGUAAUGAAAAGGGCAUUUGUACUUUGGCCAUGAGCAAAUCAGACUGCUACACCUAAAUGACAGAUGAAAUCUCACUGCAGUGCACUUAGCAGUUAUCAGGUUCACAUGUACACCCUUUAGAGACCUUAAUAAUAGCCUCUCCAGAAUCUCUUCAAACUGGCAAUCCACACAUGCUUUUCCUUCAUAUUAAACAAUUCCUUCAUUUUAAACAAUUUUUCUAUAAAUAACAGAAGCUUGACUAACUCUAAAUUUGUUCAGUGUCUCUUAAACUAUUCCAGCUGUGGUUAAUUCAAUUUUCCUAAUCAUCAAUAACUCCUAGUGCAGAACCUCCAACUCCUGCCCCACCCAAAGUCUUACCCUGAGUUUCCCAUUGGGCUCCCUCACUUCAGCUCCCUCACCCCAGACCUAAAGCCCUCCUAGAGCUGCCCCAUCAAUCAGAUCCCUCUCAUGGUGUCACCUUUGCCAGCUUACUCCCUGGGCAAGAUUUGAACAGGUGGUGUGAGUGUCCUCAGCCACCUGCCUGAGGUACAUAGGAGAGGAAAAAGGACAGGCACAAGUUCAGUGUGUUUCCUCCCUCUCCUCCAUCCACCCUCCCCUUACCAUACAAAUUAAAGGAGUUUGAUCUCCUGGGGUCUGCAAUAAACAGAGAAAUGCCUUUUAAAGGGCACUUCCCUCAAAACCACAUGCUGAGGGAGGCCUGGAUUAUCAGAAUUUCAGCUUCAAGGCAGGAGAGGAAACUGGAGUGGCCUGAAGGCUACAAGUGCCACAGCUUCUCCUGGAAGCUGCAGGGACUUCAAGUUCCCACUGGGGCACCGGAUGCAGUUUGACAGGGAAGCAGCAUUUGGAACAAAUAAUUUUGCCAGAAGCUUUUGUUGUCAGAUUGCAAAGUAGGAGAAUUAUUGGGCAACUGACUGGUGCAUAGUUAACCAAGAAGUCUGGGGCAGCUGUACUUUUUUUACAGCUCCAAAAAAGCUGAUUUACAUUAGGAUGAGUGAUUGCACAGCACAUGGUUAAAGAAUAACUGAAGAAAACAAGCCUUGCCUCCACAAGGAAAUUGGAAUAGUGUCCAUAAUUCAUACCUGCAUAACUGGCCAUAGGGGCCUUCUAGCCCCUUCUCCUGGCCGUGUGCUGUAACAUCACAAUAUUUUUCCUAUAUUCCUUGUUGGAAGUGAAACUUCUCCUCUGAGUGAUGAAGCACUCAGGCAAUGCCAAGAUUUGUCUUUAUUUAAUGUAUUUAAAGAACUACUUAUCCAAAUCACUUUGAGUCUGGACAUAAACUUUUUAUUCAAAUGCCAAAAAUACUAAUGGAAAACAAUCUAUUCUGAGGGUACCAAAGGUGAAGAACCACUGAAAUUUAUAAUGGAGAGCAGUACAUCUCCAUUGAGGUGAACAUCUAGUUUUACUUUUGAAACAGAAAACUAAAUUCUGUAAAAAGAGGAGCCCAAGCAUUUGGACAGCAAUCUUAUUUUUUUUGCCAUGAAUAUUUGUGUUAGAGUGUUGACUAAGGAAUUAUAAUUUAAUAUUUCUUAGUCACAAUGAUUUCCAGUUGCCCCUGUAUUUCAAGCACCACCUAGUGGAUCUAUUUUAAAGCUACCAAAAAAGCAAGUAGCAAAAUAUUUUUUCUUUUCAAGGUAUGAAUGGCAGCUGUCAGCCUGCCCUCUUUAAAACUUGCUAUUUGAUUGCUUGUUCAUAGCAAGUCACAACAGCUUUGAAAAACACUAAGUUAAUACAAGUGAACAAGUACUGCUUAGUAUGAACAAAAUUUGGCUCUUAUUGAGCCUCAGUGUAGGACAUUUCUCUUCCCAAUUCAUUAUGCCCAGAAUGUUAAGAUGGAUAUGUCCUUUAAUUUUCAGAAUUUCCUGAGUAAAGAAAAAUAAACUUCUUCUUCCUCUAAAUGGAAACAAGUGAGAAAGACUGAGUAGACAUUAUUUGAAUACUGGAAAUAACUAACCAAAGAAAGAAGGUAUUUCUAAUCUUGUUCACCAGGCAGUCAAAUGUGGCCAUAUAAUUAUGUAAGCAUAUAAUUCUUAAAUGAAGUAUAUUAAGCUCAGAGACACUUGAUAGAUAUCCUAUCUGAGCAAUUACCUACCACAAAUAUAACAUAAAUCAAUACACUGUUUGUUAAAAUUUUUAUUCUUCUUGAUGAUUUAAUUUAUUAGAGAGGGAUGGUUACUUAUUUAAAAUUUUGUAUUUGAUCUCAGUAGCUUAUCUUAAUGUAUGUAAUUCAUGCAUUACAUAUUACCUAUGAAGAGCAUUUUUUGGCAAGACCUCAGAAUUAUUGUUGCAAGAAACUGAGAUUUGAUUGCAAAUAAUAAAAACUGGGAUCUUUAAAGUGAUGGGUGAUCAGCCUAAAGUAAACUAAGUUUACCUUGACACAGGACUGGGAGCAAACCUUGAGUGCCUUGUCUAAUUAGGGAGCUUAAUUCCAGACCUUGCAGUUAAGAUCAGGUAGCAGAAAUGGCCAUGACUAGGCAACUAAAAUAGAAAGAAUACUGCGAAGUGUCACAGUGAGAGAAAGCCUGUCAUGCCAGAAUCAGCACGGGCAUUUAUAAGAUGCAGGUACUGAUCAAAGAUCAAAACAGCUGAAAACAGAAAUCAGUGAAGUAACUGAAUGCAAAAACCAUUGCUUAGAAAAAAAUAAUCCUGAGCUCUCUUCCCUGCAAACACUUUUGAGUGGACUAGAAUUGAUGGGGUUGGUCCAGCAGCUGAUCAGACAUUUGGCUACAUAAGUUAAUGAAAAGCUUUAAAAAUAUGGGCAGCCUCUGUGUCUGGAAUGAAAUAUAGCAAGGAUUGUAUAUCUCUCUUUGAUGAGGCUGUUAAAAUAAAAAUGGUUCACAACAGCCAAUGGCUUAUGGGUUCCAUCAUCUAAUUAGCUAUUUCAUCUGUAUUUUAUAUUUAUUCAUUCAAUUAAUCUAUAUUUGGCGGGGGGGAAGGGUCUUAGUUCUAACUUUUGUAUAUUGAAAGUAUUUUUAAGCAUUUUACACUGAACUCAGAGUAUAGAUUUAACUUGGUAUUUUACAGGAAGGCAUGACAGGAAAUAAAUACAUUCUUGUAAGUAACACAGAGAUACAAGCAGAGAUAAAGAACAGACAUUUGUAAUUAAUGAGGAAAUGUAGUUACUAUUGAUUGACCGAAUACAUAUGAUGAAUGUACUAUUUACCAAUCAACACAAUUUUAUCUUUAUUUUGAAAUUGCCUAAGUUGGUUUGGUCUGUAUGUGGUACAUUACAAGAUAUCUCUGCUUUAAAACAGAAUUUAACUUGCACUCUUCCUAGAUAUACUAAAAGGGAAAUCCCACUUUGGUGCCUAUUUGUUCAUGGUAUUCUUUUGUAAAUAUCUGGAUAUUUAAAUAUAAAUAAAACUUUUUUUUUUGUGCCUAAAUAAUGUGCUAUAAAUACCUUAAUCCUGGGAUGCUGAGAGGCUGUGCUAACAAAGCAGGUGAAAGGCUUACAUAUUUCGAAGAAAACAAAACUUCUUCCUUUCCCAGAUUUGUAUUAUUUUAGAGUGGUGCAAACACAAAAUAUCAAAUGUUCUGAUUCAUAGGUCUCAUUCUGACAACAUUAACAGAGAACUCAUCCUGCACAGACAUCCAUUUAUAGGCAGCAGGCUCUAGACACAGGGUUUGGAGAGAGAGAUUGUUUUAAUUCUCUCCAGAUCUUUCAGAGCAAGUGAGGUUGGAGCUAGUUCUGGAGAAAACCUUGCAGUCCCUCUUCUUCUGUUUAGCAGCUAACAUCUACAGCACUGUGCUGUACGACUCUUAAAUCUGACCACCACACAAACCUCACAGCAAAAAGUGUCUAGGAAAAAAAUGCAAGCACUGCAGAGAGAAAGAUUUUAGAAAGUUCUUUAAGGUUAUAAAAUUGAUGAAAAUUUCCCAAGUUUAGAACUUAGAUUAAUAGAAUGGGAUGUGGUAUGGAUGCCGGAAGCUGAGCCAAAUCACUCAUUUUACCAAAGACAAAAGUUUCAGGACUUCUUGAGCAAGAACGAAAACCAGAGAAUCCUGUGAAAAAGACACAAUUUUCUGUCAUUUCUGAAAAAAAAAAAAAAAAAAAAAAAAAGCAAAAGUUUUAGGGGAAAAAAGAAAUAAAUAGGGCCCUGCUGUGACAUGAAGAGCCAGGCAGUAAAAAAUAUUUCAUUUAUCUAAUGAAAUAAUCAAGAGUUCAGGAGUCAAAAUGAUGCAGUCACUUGCAGAAUAGGACUUCAGAAAAGUUUACACGUAUUUUCCAUCACAGCAAACAAAAAAUCACAAAUAAGGUAGAAAAAUUGUGCACCCUUUCCAUAAUGUAUUUAAUACUUCUUUUUCAGAAUAAGUGCCAAAGCAAAUUUAUGGAACAGGUGACUGUCUCAGCAAAUGCACACCAUGUCUCACUUUGUUUAAACUACAAAGAUUAUUCUUGAAUCUAAUGUCUGAGGUGGAAAUCACAGUUUGUCUUUGACAUAAUAAUGGAAUUGCUCCUGACAAUUUUCCUUGAACAUCAGAAAAUUUUGAAGUUAAACGAAAACUAGAGAAUAGCACUCUGUGAAUAUUCUCAGGCAAGCAGGCUAGCAUGUGAGGCUCCCAAAAGACUAGCUUUGUGUAUAUUUACCUACAGCUCAUCAAAGCCAAAUCUUCAGAUGGAGGUGAAACAUAUAAGCAGCUGUGCUGCAGUAAAAAUGUCACAGCCUAAAUGGAACUAAAGAAGCUUUUCUUACUACAGGUCACCUAAAAAUACUUUGACAAACAGAGGGGUAUCUAGCAGUGUCUGUACAAUAGUUCCAUGCUUUUUCUGGUCUGGCAUAUGGAAUAUUUUGAGACAGGUAAGAACAGGCUGUUUGCUAAUGGACCGGGAAAAGUACAGUCCAAAUAGUGCUAUGAUGCAGAGCAGAAGUAACCCAGCUAUAUAAACUCCACCUACUGGGAACUUUCUGUAGCCCUCAGGCUGUAGUCAGGAUGAUGGCAGAGCCCAGCUUCAAACAAGCAAUAAGGAUGAGCAAUUUGUAC
Molecule: long non-coding RNA, 7794 nt
Organism: Serinus canaria (Common canary)
Lineage: Eukaryota; Metazoa; Chordata; Aves; Passeriformes; Fringillidae
Exons: 3
Source: RefSeq, a predicted model, not a curated record